UGAGGAAUAUUGGGCAAUGCCCGCAAGGGUGACCCAGCAACGCCGCGUGGAGGAUGAAUGUCGUAAGAUUGUAAACUCCUGUUAGAGGGGAAGAAUAGUACCGGUUGGACCGGUAUAUGACUGUACCCUCAGAGAAAGCCCCGGCUAACUACGUGCCAGCAGCCGCGGUAACACGUAGGAGACGAGCGUUAUCCGGAUUUACUGGGUGUAAAGCGCGUGCAGGCGGUAUGGAAAGUUGGAUGUGAAAGCUCCCGGCUUAACUGGGAGAGGUCGUUAANAACUACCAAACUAGAGUACAGCAGAGGGGAGUGGAAUUCCGAGUGUAGCGGUAAAAUACAUAGAUAUUCGGAAGAACACCAGUGGCGAAGGCGGCUCCCUGGGCUGAAACUGACGCUCAGACGCGAAAGCUAGGGUAGCGAACG
Molecule: ribosomal RNA, 422 nt
Filed under: uncultured bacterium
Lineage: Bacteria
Description: bacterial SSU rRNA
Rfam family: Bacterial small subunit ribosomal RNA
Source: RNAcentral